Zootoca vivipara (common lizard) is the source of this 27502-nucleotide non-coding RNA. Lineage: Eukaryota; Metazoa; Chordata; Lepidosauria; Squamata; Lacertidae. The record is from RefSeq and is a predicted model, not a curated record.
AAAAGAAGUCUUUACAGGGAAGGGUCAGGGGUGGCUCCCCUUGCGCUGAGCACUGCGGUGAGGGUUAACGAGAGACAACUGGGCCGCGUGUGUUUGUCGGCUUGCGCGCCUUUGGUGGGGGGAACUUCGUGCCGGCAUUUAUCCUCUAGGCUGGGCAGGGAAGCGUAAACUGCCUCUCGGAGAAGGGAAGGAGGGUUGUGGGGGUGACUUCAGGGUAGCAACAGCUGCAUGAGCAGCAGAUGCUUCCCCUUUCUGCCUGGCUCCUUAGCUCUCCUUCCCAGGGAAGAGGGAGAACGUGGCUCUUUCUGAGGCUGAGUUCAGCUGUCACAUUUGUGCCUCUUCUCUCAGUGUGUAUGUGCGUGCGUGCACACACACACACACACACACACACACACGGGGUGGGGUUGCUUUUUUGGGCCUGGACUGAUGUCUUUGAUCUGUGUGUCCAACUGUCAUUUCCAAGUGUCAUUUCCUGCCAGUGCAGAUCACCUUCUAAAAAGGUGGCAGGAGCCCUGGAGAUGGCCUAGUGGCGAAGGACUGGAUGACUGGCCCUGCCAAGCGUGUCGCCUCAUGUGACUUAUGGGAGGCCCUCGGUCAGGUCCUGAUCUUACCCAAACCCUAAAUUACGGUGCUAGGUAAUAAGUAUUCUGCAGAAGUGGUGGGAGUGAGUGCACUGCUCGCAAAAUGAUAUUGUUCGGGAUGGGGGGUGAGCGAUGGUGGUGCCCUUCAUAACUCCGGUGGCCACUGACUGGAAUUGAUAUACUGUAUCCCGAACUGGGGACAGCAGGCUUGGGCCUGGAGGAUUUGAUGUUCACACACAGGCCUGUCUUGCGUAAGAGGUGGGGCAGGCUGAUUUCCUGAAAGAACGCACAUUUAGAGGGAACAGGAACAAAUUUAGAAAUGCUGCGACAACAAGCCAGGCAAUAACACAGCUAAAACUUCCUAAGCACCUGUCUUCUGAGAAGCUGCCCUCAAAUUAAGCAGACAAUAUUUGCUGUCAUUUGUAGCCCAAAUCACUUCUUCUGGUGCGCAGGCUGCAAACAUGCUAGCCUUUCUCGUUCCAAAUUGAGGUGAUGUUUCUGCCCUUGGGAAAAGGAAAGAAAUGUACAUUCAAUAUACUGAUGUAGGCUAUGUGUUGUCAAAAUAGUUUGACUGACUGAGCAGGGCUGUCCCAUGUCGUUUUGCUUCAUGAGGCAAGAACGACAAAGUGGUGCCCCCCUCAUUCCACACAGAAGGGCCAACAGGACCGGAAGCUGAAUAUUACUUCAACAGUAACAAUGGGGCAGUGUCCUCCACUUCGCCUGAAGGUGGCAGGGUCACUUAUGCGGCACGAGGUCCUUUUUGCUGCUUUCUGCCAAGGCAGCCACCUCACUCUGCCUAACGGUAGGGCUGGUCCUGUGUUUACAUUUUAAAACUGAACUGUGGAGGUCACUCCUUGUGCUGGAAAUGUCACCUUGGCUCGCAAGUAAGCUACAAGACGCUUCACUGCAAAAGAGUCUUUGGUCCUUUGCUUAUUCAGCUUUCUGUGUAUGACACUGCAACGGAGGGAGCCUCCCAGCACGGUCUCCCCCGAAUCCACUCCAAUUCCUUUAACACUGGGAACAUCUCUGCAGUGUCGUUGCACCAGGAGAACGAAUUAAUAUGUAUGACCCAGUUAUGGGUGAGUGGCUGACUUAGAGGCUUCCCCAGCAGAGCUGUGAGCUCAAAUCUGUGUCUUAGCAGCUGUGGCACGCUGGGGCAGUAGAGGCUUGCUUGACUUAUUCCUCCUCUUGCAUGGCAUACCCUGCCAUGCAAAUAGCACCCUGGGCUUCCUUUAUCCAGUGGGCUGAUGCUGGGGCCUCUGGGGCCAGAUGCCCUUUGAUGUGCCUGUGCUGCUGAGUCCUGUAUGUGGGUUUGGCGAACAAAUUAGCUUUGAACCUUGGGUGGCUUUUGAGCGGGCAGCAUGGACGCAGCAUCUCCAUUCAUCACAGAGACCCAGGCUGAAGCUGUAGGUGAUGCCCGGGAGGCAGGCGGUUCUCUCAAGCAGCAGGCACACAUGUCCCUGCCACCAGCGGGCUUGUCCCUGAUUUGCCUAGUACAUGAAUAUUCCAGCUGUGUUGCUCACUUCUUGCUAUGAUCCCAAAGGAAAGUGGAGCGGUGCUUAAACGAUGUAUGCAUGCAGCUGCUUUCUCAUCUAGCCUGUGCUGUGAGGGAUGGAUUAGAUUUACAGGGGUAAUCUCCCUUUCAGGCAAGUGGCAGCCUGCCCAGUUCUGCUCACCAUGGUUCUCAGCCCUGUGCGUCUCCAACCUGGGUAGCACUGCCCAGUCACAUGGAGGGGUCCUCCUGCCUGUUCAUCAGCAGAGGUGACUUAGGGACAGCAGCAAUUCCAGGGACUGAUGCUUUCUCCUUCCUCCCCUCAACCCCCAAGCUGAGCUGAAGGGGGGAGGCUCUGAGGCCGAGCUGUGCUGUGGUUGCCACUGACAGCUGGGUAUAUUUGAGCUCCUUGUUUUCACAGGUUAUCACGUGUUUGCUGUAAAAAUGGGAUUAUGGCUCAGGUUGUGAUUACGGCUUCUCUACAAUAACGUUAACAAGGGCUGUUGAAUACUUUCAAUUAUUGUAUGCAGGCAUCAUUUUUUAAUCUUUUGCUGCCUGGACUACUAUGUGCCGGCGAGGGACUGCUUCUAGCCAGAGACUGUGAUUUGAAUCCAUCCUAACGUAUUUUGCUUUACACUGUGGAGGGAAAUGUGUUCAUGGGCACGGGGGGGCUAGUUUGUAACUUGCUGCAGGUCAGAACAUUUGUUCUCUGAGACCUGAGUAUAUUGCAUCACUCACACCUAGAGGAAAGUUGGUGAGCAGUGGAGAGGAGUUGGUCUUGGUACUCUUUCUAGGUUUGUGGAGGAGAAAUGUCUUUCUCCCCCGUUCACUUUGGCGAUUGCUUAAAGGUAAAGGGACCCAGUCCAGUCGUGACCGACUCUGGGGUUGCGGCGAUCAUCUCGCUUUAUUGGCCGACGGAGCCGGCAUACAGCUUCCGGGUCAUGUGGCCAGCAUGACAAAGCCGCUUCUGGCGAACCAGAGCAGCACACAGAAACGCCGUUUACCUUCCCACUGUAGCGGUACCUAUUUAUCCACUUGCACUUUGACGUGCUUUCAAACUGCUAGGUUGGCAGGAGCUGGGACUGAGCAACAGGAGCUCACCCCGUCGCGGGGAUUCAAACCGCCGACCUUCUGAUCGGCAAGCCCUAGGCUCAGUGGUUUAACCACAGCGCCACCCGCGUCCCUGGCGAUUGCUUACAUCUGAGAAAAUGUAGAUUUGUGUGUAGCCUGGGUGGAGGGAAGGGGGUUCCAUGCAGAGCAUGCUGCCGUUUUGGAGACUCAAAACAAGCCUGCUGUGUCUCGUCUUAGUGCACUUGUAGGACAGUCGCUUCUGAAAUCAGCAGCUGGCUCUCCUCUGCUGGCCCGCUUGUUUACAGGGCAGCUAAAUUUAUCCAUAUUUGCAUGGGAGUUGGUUGCUCCAGCCAAAAAGGAAGCGAGGCUACCCUUGCAAAUGUAUGCAACUCGCGUAAUGACAAGAAUUCCCCCCAGAAAGCUUUCAUGGGACGUCUCUGAAUCUACGGGGCUCUCACUGAACAUUCUCACUGAUCCUAUCCACGAGCUUUCAGGACGCGCUGAACAGAAAAUAGCUUGGCUGUCCUGGGAGCUGGGGCUUACGAGGCCUCUGUAGAGGUGCCUCCCACUCUGAUGGCCCAAUGCAGACAGCCAGGCUCUGAAACAGUUAACAAAUUCCUCUGCCCUCUCCUAACUUAUGUCAACUUGACAACACAGAGAAAGAAAGAAGCAGCUGUGUGUGUACUCAUGCAGUGAACACCACAUCCUCUGUCGCACAUCUUUCCUCCUAGUUGGGUGGUUGCUCCACUUCUUUGUUCCUCUUCUUGGGUGUCACGCAAGCUCAACUCAUCCCUCCCUCCCGUUUUGCCCUUCCUUCAGUGUGGCUUGCCUUGCCCAUGACUGACCUUACUUUGCCCUUGCUGCCCUUCUCUCCCCUGUUCAUGGAGGUUUUUCAUAGCCCAGGGAAGGGCUAGGCAACUGCAGGGUUCAUCCAGCUGUGCACAGCACACACACACACACCCUUUAAAGCUCCACCUCGUCGUCUUUUUUCACCUAGUUUCCUGCGCUUGGCUGUUUUGCUCUAUCGGUGCAGACUUUCGCCCUCUAGGCUGCCUGCUUUGCCAGAAUGUAAGCAUGCAAGCCUUUUGCACCCUGCUUUUUGUUGGUUUGCAUUCAGUGGGCAUUUCCUUGCCUGCUGGCUUGGUAAUAAAAUCUCCAGGCCUUGGACGCACAAACAGGGCAUGAGAUGGUAUCGUGUUUCAUCCAAUUGCUGCAGGACCCUGUAUCCUUUUAGGGCAGCUGUUGUGUGUCCCCCUGACACAUAGCAGCUGCCCACCAAAAAUGCAGAUUCAGGGAUGCAAGUGUCCCAUUCAGUGUGUGCUAGUCGUUUAACGUCGAAGUACCUCUGUAGGGCAAUAGGACUGCAAUGGGGUGUGGCUGUGCAGCCUUUACAAAUGGCUCAGGGCUCCAUCCAUAGUUUCUCAAAUUUUCACUCUCGCUACGGAUUUCCCUUGGAGCUGCGUAGGAAGACAGGCAGCUUGCGGUUGCCCAGUGCUUAUAACCUUGUUGCCAUAGGUAUGUUGCCCUUGCCAACAAGGAAAUACAUCUGCACACUUUCCUUUGUAUUCUGGAGCCCGGUUUGCUUUGAAAGAGCUUACUUUUUAAAGGCUCGUUGAUCUCAAGGGAGCUUGAAAUGGAUGCUUUAGAGCCAGCAGGUGGUGCUCAAGUCUCCCGGCUGGAGGCUGCUAUCCCACUGAAUCCCAACACUGAGCACUUCCAGUAAUCCCCUGUGGUUUUAACCUGUGGGGGGCAGGGGCGGUAUUGUUUUCAUGAUGCCCUAUGAUUAAUCGGAAGCAGCUCUGAAGAUCAGCGUGUUUAUUCUCUGGCUUUUAUUAAGCAAAAUGCUUUGAGAAUGCAUCUGCUCUGAGAACAGUGAGGUGAAUUGGUCCUCUUGUGAGAGAGAUGCCCAGCACACACCAUGGGAUUUUGGGGAGGAGGCGCGCUCGCUUGUGAUGUUGCAGCUGGCGAUCCUUGAAUUCUGCUUGGCUCAAAUGAGGAUAGUAUAAGUAGAACCAGGAGCACCAAAAAAGGUGACAUGGGUACUUGAGUCUCAGGAACCCCACCGCUGUGUGCUGUCUGCGGUGUACAGGUAAAAAGUUAUCACAUGGUUUGACUGCCUCUUGCAUCUAGUUCACUUGCAUUCAUGUAUAUUCUGAUUGGUUGUGUGAGGGGGAUGGGUGGCUGUUGCAGAAUUUAAAUGCUUCUGGCUGGCAGGAGGGGAAUGCAUAGUGUUAAUAAGGAAACAGGUUUCUUAGGAAGGUGGAUAGGGAGCUGGGUUAAGUACCCACAGAUCUUGUGGUCACGUGACUGGAGGCGUCUUUCCAUUCACCUCUUGUCUUUAAGUUCUUGCUGGAGCUACUAACACACUUCCCAAAGGUGUUUGAUGCUCAGAAAGGAUAGGAACUUGAUUUUUUGCUUUUAAAUGAAUCAAUGCAAAACUUGUGGUUGCCAGUGAUUUGUGUUAAGAUAGUUCUGGAUACUCAGAUCUGUAUGGAAAGUGAUUGCUCAGUGAAGUGAUGGUUUUGUAGAUACAAGCUGCUUUGGAACAAAGUUAGUUUGCUUGGUCAGCACAUUCACUGCGGAACUUGCUCUAGAAGUGAAACAGAUGUGUCUGUCCUUUGCUCUCAUGCUGGGGGGGGGGGCAGGGGUGCUGGUGGAAUGUUGCUGAGGGUGCAGCUUCUCUCUUGGUUCGCAUCACGGCAGAGGCCCCGAAUGAUCAAAACGGCAUUGUCCUGCGUUCGACAAGCUGAUGCUUGGCCAGACAUGGACAAAGGGAAAUACGCAGGUUCCAAAUAACGGGCUCGUUUGGGGUGGCUUCAGGCUUCCCAUCCCUUCCCAGGAGUCUCCUAUUUCCUCCCAUGUUUGGUCUUAUUUCUGUGAUUUCAGGACAGUAUUGCUAGCCUUGCGUAUUCCUCACUCUUUUCGGAAGCUCCCGUUCUUCCUAUCCACCCACUGAGUUGUACUGCUGACGUAUUGGGAAAGAUGCAAACAUUUAUUUCAAGGCUAUGAAACUCCUAAAUGAAGAUGGUGCCCAGGCUUCUUCACUAAAACAGCAUCAAAACAAAAGCAGGAGAAUCUGUUUUCAUUUUUUUUAAGAACUUGUUUCCAACUCUCGUUUUUUGUGUGGAGAAAAAGUGAAUUCCAAAGGCUGAAUAGCCACAAUGUUCAUUGGGUGGGGAGGCUGCGAGGAGAGUCUUCCUAGAGAUAAGGAUUUUUACAGUUCUGCCUUUCCCUUCUUCAGGGGUCCUAGAGUGUCCCUGCCCCUGUUCUCCCCUUCUCCCCACCACACACAUUGAACUGUACCCCAGAAACCUUUCCUUUCUCCCUUCUUCCACCACCCCAUCCUGCCAAUGAUGUUUUCCUCCAGGGAUCCAGAUUUUAGUAAAUGAAGCAAAUCGGAAAAUCAAAUGCAAGCCGAUGUGAAAUGCAUUCUCAUUGCAAAACAUGACUUCUGCAUUUGCUAAAAUCUCUACUGUUAUGUGUGAUCAGGGCACAUCCCCCCUUGUUUGCCCCCUAGACCUGGGUAGACUUGACUUGUGCAAAGGUCCAGACAGGUCAGAAAAAAGAAACCCCACGUUUGCAAUGUCUAUGCUUUCUAGCUUGUCACUGCCUAGCUUCUGUCUCUCUCUCUGUGUGUGUAUGUGUAUUUCCCCCAGGCAGGUGGGUCUGAGUGCCUGAGCUUCCUGUCCCAGUCUGGAGCAGAUUGGCUGUGGCACUAAUCGUACUGCAUAAAGGAUUACCGGCCACCAGGAUUAAAGGAUUUCUGUAAAAAGAGCUGAGGAGGAAUGGGGGAUGGGCUGCUGCAAGAGCUGGGAGGACAUACAUGACUGGCUGAUGGGGAAGGGAGUGAGGUUGGAAGGUCUUUGGCUGAGGAACCAAGGUACUUGUAGGCCACAGGCGAAAUGCAUGGCUGCUGCUCUCUAGAGCUGGAAAAGUCCACCAAUGACCUAACCCAGGGCAGUCCAACCUCUUAGACCAAGUGGGCCACAGGAGUACUUCAACACAGAACCCGGGGGGCCGCACCCUGAAUUAAAUUUCCACAUUGUUAAUUAAAGCAUUUGCAAUAUGGUCAAUGCUAUUUAAUAUACACAAUUAAUACAUGUUAAGGGUGAGCACUCCUAAACAUUAUGAGACCAGCUCCCAAGUAAGUAUGCGUUGAAUCAGGGCAGGUUGCUAGGCUGCGAUCUGUAGGACAGGGUUUCGACUCCGUGCAAGCUGACCUGGGAUAAAGCCCUGCUCAGGUCAAAAUGCAGCGCAAGACUAAUGUGUGCCUAUUCACAAGCAAAUGUCGUUAAUUUCAUUGAGACUUACUCCCAGAUAAAAGCAGACUGCGCAGGGCUGCAGCCUUAAAAAAUAUACAUGGAGGCAUUCAGCUGUCUUAAUACCAGUGCGGGGGAAAUACCUCUCUCACAUUAAUACGGUGUCAUUGCUAUAAUUAUUUUGUUGUUGCUUCUAUCCCGGGCAAAGUUAGAGGGGAGGAGGGGGGUGGCUGGCCUGUUUGGCCUUGCAGAGGCUGGGGGAGACACAAGAAGUGCCUUUGCAGUUUCUUUCCGCAUGCCCGUCACAGCAGCAAUGACUGACUUAGCCGGCUAUUCGAGCCGCACUAAGAAGCCCUGAAUGUUGCCAAGGGCUGCCCAAAAGCUGUUUCAAGGGCUGCAUGUUGGGCCACCUUGAUCUACCCCUUGUGUGAACUAAGGACAGCUUUUACGCUCCAAGCAGCAGGCAUUGAGCUUCCCAGUGGGUGCUUCUCCCACUUUUAAUUAUGCCCCCACCCCACCCCCAAAACUGGAACUGAGUUUAGGGAGCGGAGUGUGUGUGCACAAGGUGGAAAAAGAGCAUUUGCAGUAUCGGCAGGCCUGGGAGGGGUUGCACACCCGUCCCUCCCACUGCCUUUUCUCUCUCUUGCAAGCCCCUUAUCCUCACCUCCACAUUCAGGUUAUCUCUCCGAAAGUGGCUUUGGGAAUGUGUGUUUGCUGAGAUUAACCCCAGUGUAGUUUUCUCGUUUUAAAUGUCAAGAAUGAUGCUCCACAAGCCUCCCAGUGGGCCUUUGAACUAUACAAUAUAUAGGAGUGCUGCUGAGGGAUGAGAAUUAUUGGGUGGUUCUUGUUUUUAGUUUUUAUUAUGUAUUUUGUGUUUUUAUAUUGUGAUUCUAUGUUGUGAAGCCCUGAGACCUGUGGGUAUAGGACCGUAUACAAAAAAAAUAGUAAUGGGUAUGGAGACCUUUGCCGGCACUUCCUAAAAAAGCACACUCCCAGCAAUCCUUCGGCUUUUCAACUGGCCUCAAACCAGUCUAUGUUGUGUAUCUGCCACGUUUUGGAAGCCUGUGUCCAGGACAUGGGGAGUGGGUCACUUCACCUGUGGGACGCUUUUGGAGCAAAUGCCUGGGCCUCAGUUCUCAAGCUGUAAAAUGACAGUGGCCAGGGUUGUAAGGUUGCUGGGAGGGCGACUGAUGUGCACACACAAAAAUAUGGAACAGGUUUCAAAUGCAAAUUCUAGUUGUUGAGAUGGGCUCUCAUUUCCUCAAAUGUCUCCUGUAGUCUCAGGAGGAGUGCUUGUGCAGAGUCCUGCUUGUUGAGUGGCGUACCUUCCACAACACCUGGGAGUAGUGAGGUCCAGCAUCUUAUCAAAUGUACUGGUCACUGAGGGCAUGCUAUAUGGGCUGGAUGCCUUACUGAAUGAUGACGUGGUUCCUAUAUCCUUGGAGGCAGCAGUGAAAUCUCUGUUAAAUGAAUGAAUGUCAGAUCUACAAAUCUUGAACUAUCCUCCAAUCCCUGAUAUAUCAUUUCAUUUAUAUUUAUUUAUCAUGUUUAUAUUCCCCUCCUUUCCUCCAAGGAGCCCAAGGUGGCAUACGUAGUUCUACUUUCUGUUUUAUCUUCUCAAUAAUCACGUGAGGUUAAAACAAACUGGCCCAUGGUCACCCAGUGAGCUUCAUGGUUUAAUGGGGAUUUGAACCCUAGUCUUCCAGAUCCUAGUCCAACACACUAACCACUACAUCACACGGUCUCUUUGAUUUUUUUAGUCAAUUAUUAGAACAUGGGAUGGCUUCCCAACUCAGCAUGGCCGUGGGCAAUGCUGAUUAUUUGGAUCCAUUUCAACCUGUCUUCAAACAUGGGUUUGGGACAGAACAGCCUCUGUUUCCCCAGUGGAUUGCUUCCAUAAGGGAAUGGCUUGUGAGUGCGUGAGUGCGUCCCUGUUGGUUCUUUUGCAGCUCUUAGUGGCUUUCAACAUCGAUGGCCAUGGCAUUCUUCUGCGCCAUCUUGCUAAGUUGGGCCUGGGGAGGGGAGAGUAUAGGUUAGCACUGGUCCUUUCUGGAAGGUUUUCCACCUAGUUUACCCAUUGUAUGGCAUAGGAUGCUAAAAGUUCAUAUCCCCCAAUGGGUCCUGACCCAAAUAAGGCUACUGUCCCGAUUCUUUAAUCAGCUGCAUAUCGAGGAGAAGCUCAGCAUACAGAGCUGCUUCUUUCACUGCCAGGGGCAUCGCUUGGUACUUAAAGAACCUGGGAAACAGAUCAUGAUGCAGAUUUGCAUAAAUGCACAGUGUGCCUCUGGGUAAAUUAAGAUGGCAAGGCUGUUGGUUGCUAGCACUGCACUUAGCUGCACAGUAAGCAAAGUUUGCUUUUUUUAAUUUAAAAAGGAGGCCGAGGAAAGGGGAUCUGGGGCACAGCACUAAAUUCAGUUCCCCAAGCGGUGCCCCUGGUCUCUGCUACCCUAUAAUGGACUUUACGGACCUUGGCAUGCAGCUGUUCAAGGAACAGGAGCCUUAUUUGGGGCAGAGAGGACUCUUUCCCUGGAGGCAUCGCUCUACUCAUUUGGCUGGCUUGCAAUAAAUGCUCCAGCGUAACAGCUUUGCUUGCUAGCUUCAAUCUGCCAAAACCAGAAACAUUAACUGUUUGCCGUCCCCACGCUUCUCUUUUCACUUACCAGGACCAUACAGUAAUAGGAUGGCUUUUCUGUCCUCCUGUGGGAUAAAAAUUCCCAUUGUCCUUCCACCUGACUUUGGAUUCAGUUCUGGGGGCACAGCGCUUGCCCCAAAGUCUUGUCAUUGCCUAGUUGUGUGCCAGUUCAGAGACUGAAGCAGCAAUGGAUCAAUAUCUGAUGUACAAGCGUUUCAUUAACUAGAGUGGCCUGCUCUUCUUUUUGUAUGUAGGGCUUGUCUGAAAAGAGUUCUUCUUCUCCCUGCCUACUCAUUUGGGGCAGAAGUCAUUAUGGGACUCCUUUAGUUCCCCUUCUGAGUCUCAGGCACUGAAUACAGUGUGAGAACUAGUACCUCAUGAAUGGAGGGCUCAGCCUUGUUAAAGAGCCUUUUGCAACGCUGAUACAGCCCUUUCUUUGAAGUGCCAUCUACUGGGCAAAUCUCAGGAGCGGAUGCCACCCUGCAGUGUUUAUUUUAUUAGGUUUGUAUCUUGAUUCUUCCUCCCCAAGGGAGCCCAGGAGUGCUGUUGUUGUUGUUUGCAUCUGUCUGUCUCGAAAGGCAAUGGAGUGUGCUUCCAGAGGUGAUGUCAAACCAUAGUGACCUCCCCAGGAUGCACUAUGUGACAGUGUGUAGGGAGGGCCUGGUCUGGAGCAUAAGGUAAAUGCAACACAGUUCAAUAAGCCAUAUAUUUCAAAGCACCAUUAAAAACCUAAUAAAAAUAUCAAUAGUUAAUACCUUGAAUGCAGAGAACCUCGGGAUUGAUCUGCUUCUGUCAAGCAACUUAUUACUAGACGGUAUAAAAUCUUCAUGGUGUUAUGAUUGUCUUAGGCACUUAUGCUAUCAGAAUGAAGUUUUGUGGAACACAAACUGAGAAUGGCACAGAGCUUCAGGGCCUGUUGCAGCUCUCCAGAGUACUUGUUGGGUGACAAAGCCAUUAUUUGCUGAUGCGAUCUGCAAAUGGGUUCACAGGGGACUUCCCAGCUAUAAAGAAAAGUAGUUGGUCGUAAAGGUGAAAAGCCAGUUUGGUCUCUUGGGGGUGCUCUAAAGUAGAUGGGGGAUGCUAUCAUAGCAAAGCUGGAAAGUUUAAAACAUACAACAUUUUGAAAACUAUGGGAUGGGGAUGAGCUUUUCUGGAGACUGCCAAGGGAAGUGCCAGCCUUUCAUGGGUAUCCUCUUCUCAGAUUCUGCCUCUUCUGUUGAUUGAUCUGGCUUAUACUUCUCCUGAGCAUCUCCGUCUUCUCUAUCUCUGCUGCUUGCUGUAGUGGAAAGAUGUCUUUUCUCAGAAACUAUGGUUCAUUUUUUCACAAACGGGGAGUUGCCUCUGUGUGUGUAAAAAAAAUCACACAUAUUUUACUUUGGGUUUUGAUUGUCAGGGUCCUGAACCCUCUUAGUUUGUGGGCCAAUUGUUUUGCUUUGCUUUACUGUGGGUAAGAGGCAAUAGAAUUGGAGCCACAGGCUAAGGGAAUUACUUGGUUUGGUUUGUUCCUUUGCUAAUAGAUCCUAAAGCUUAUCAAACUAUUAUGAAAUGGGAUUUCCGUAAACUUUCACUUUCCAGCAGUCUAGCAUUCAGCUGACAGAAGGAACAUUAUGUUGAACUUGCCAUAGAUGAGAAAGCUAGAGUCGUGUGUUUCCAGCAGUACAGUACUGGGGAGAGCUUCCAGAGGGAUAGAUGCAACAAGCUAAUAUAUUAAAAAACAAACAGGAGUCUUCUGGCACCUUAAAGACUAAUUGGGGGAGGGCAUUCUUUCCCUUUUCGCUACACCUUACAGGCUAACAAAUUUUGUUAAGAUACGUUUUUAUGGGCUUCAUCAGAUGCUUGGAGUACGAUCCUUGGUGGUUGAGUAUAUUCACUUGUGAGUUUAAAGGCAGGAAACAUAAAUUUGAAAUCAAAUGGUAAUAUAAUGCAGUCUGUGAUAAUUCAUUUAGAUAUUAAAUUUGCAGCAGCCGUAAUUGAUAAUCUUAGUGUUGUUAAGUAAAUUAACACCUGUAGUGGGAGAGGAAACCAUUGUUUCCAUCUGUUGUCUCCCACCUGGAAACCUAUGUCCCCACUGUGGAAAGAUGUGUGAAUCCAGAAUUGGCCUCCACAGUCACUUACGAACUCAUUGUUAAGACCGUGUUCAUGGAAGACAAUCUUACUUGGCUACAAGUGAUCGCCAAAGAAGAAGAAGAUUUUUAGACCAGCAAUUCCAAGUGAAUAGGAGACCCAGGAAAAGAAUAGUGAUGUUGGGUUUUAGUGGAAACGUAUCAGAUGAACAUGGAAGCUUUUGUGUGCUUGCCUUUUUAAGACAGGGGACCCAUACUGUUAGCUGUCUAAUGUAAGCUUGCUCUUGAAGCAUUUGGCAGACAACGCUAGCACCUGUGCACUUUCUUGCUGCCACAGCUGGGAUGUGCACCUGUGCUUGUGGAGAUAAGCUUGCCAGUUCCCGUUGUGCCCUAUUUCAGCUGCUGUUCAGCUUGGUGCUGCAGGGAUUCUGGCCCCAUUGAAGAACGUGGCUCCUUACGAGCCUCUUGAGACAGAGGGGAGCCAGUUGUGGAAUCAGAAGAAAAAACACAAGGAUGUAAUGAAUCAUGUUUGCUGGACUGUCUUUUUCUUUCUCCAUGAUUUCUGACAGAAGAAAUUUGCAGACCUAUCACCUAACUGGCCGUUUAUGGAUUCCCCAUUAGUCAGGUUCGCCACACUCCUGCCAAUCUUUCCUCUUAAACUCUGGCCAUCUCAGGUUUCCCUGUGUCUUCCAGAAACAGAGUCAUGUAUCUUACCUGCUCUGCAUGUUUCAGGUAGGGCUCCCAGUUCUCGACAAGAGUGCUAAUCUGAGAUUGCUUUGCACAUCCUCGGAGAAGCAGCAAUAGCACCACCUUUGCCAGUGAGACUUCUGUUGCCCUGUGUGCAGCUGAUUAGAUUGGAUUAGAAGUUCAAGGUGGACUGGAAUGUGUUUGAACUUGAGGCUUGUGCCAGUCAAGUUUUCUCUGAGACUGUGUAAUAAGAGAUGCAAGGAAGAAGAGUUCAAACUGAGUUUAUUUGCAGAAGCACAAAAAGGAUGGACCUCUCUGCAGCUUUUUGUGUCUCACCAUAGCCACCAAACGCAGGACAAAACACAAUCUCUUUUAAGACAAAAAUAGUUUUGUGGAAAGCAUAAUGCUGUGUCAAUUCUGUGACACAUUAAACAUUGUUUGUACUCCCUUGCGCAGACAGCAGACAUGGUUUGGAUUUUAUGCAUUACUUUUAAUACAUUGCCAAAGCUUGUUUGGUAAAAUUAUGGCUUCAUACUGUGUUAUAGAAACAGACUUUUUAAAAGCAUGUAGAAGGGGCUAAUGUGCUGCUUUGGGGACAGAUGUGUAAAUCAGGCUUGUCAUGAUCCCCAGCAAAGUAAAAGACAGCCAGUAGCCCUGUCAAAAGGGAAAUAGCCAGUCACUGUCUGUCUUGUCCAAGUUUGUGAGGCCGACCUUUCUGUUCUCAUGGGGGCUAAAAACCUUUUAAGAGAACAGCUGAGAAUUCACCAGCAGUUGCCAGGGCCUCACAGCAGCAACCAGUCACAGCCUGUUUUGCUUUUGAAACCUUUGUAAUUGGGAUCCAACUGGCCAGUGCCUUCCUGCUCAGGUGGAACAUGCUUCUGAGAAAAGGGUCUUACGCCUAGAGAAGUGGUCUUGAACUGCAACCUACCAGCAAGAUCCACAUGGUGCUGCUCCCGACGCUCCUUUUUCUAGAGGGCUGGGAAUCGCGCCGACUCCUUACUCUGCAACUCUUACCCUGCUGCUUCCUUGCACUUCCCAUGCACAUCUAUGCACACAUGCGUCUUUGGCACCUGCAUGCGUUACAUUUCCGUGCACCUUCCUUUUAUGCGCUGGCCGUUGCAUAGCAACCACUAGCUCACAAGAUGCUUAAAGCUGUAAUAAUGCAGCCGGAUAAAACCGACCUAAAAAUACCCCUUGCCCAAACCUCUCCUGGGCAGCUGGGAGGAGUGGCCGGGGAGGAGCUGGGGGGGGGCACCUUGGAAAAAGUUCCCAAACUGAAUUGCCCUCUAAGUGGCUUUGUGCGUCUUUCGUCAGCUGAACAGCUCAGCGGCUCGGAACAGUAAUAGUUUCCUGGCAGGGAGCUGGGAUUGGCUGGGCUCUGUGCAUGGGAGUCUCUGCUGCUCCUUCUGCUCCAGCCGGACUGGGGAUCCCUCUCCUGCCGUGUCUCCCCCCCCCCCCGCCCCCUGCACUGUCUGGAAGAGGGGGAAGUGGAGGCUGCUGCUUGGGAAGCCAUUUGGUGCUGAGAAAGUGGGCACCCAGAGGUUCCAGCGUCUGGCUCCGACCUGCUAGGCCUUUCUCACCUGCCCAAGGGCAGCAACCCCUGCCCAGUCUUGAGAGGGCAUUGCAUCGAGGGCAUCAUCAUGGGCACUGUCGGUGAGCUCUGUGCCUCCAGUUUCCAAGCCUUCCUCUUCCCCUCCACCUUGGUAGCCACCAAGCCAGGUAGGUGCUUUAUAUUUUGCCUCUCCUCUCUAUGUCCAGGAGUGCCUUGUGCUGAUGCUGGGAGAAAUGAGGUGCCGGAAGUUGGGGUGUGUGCAGUUUGUGUAUUGUCUGUGGUGGAGCCAGGAUUACCGUAGUCGUCCUCUGCUAUGCCCUGUCCCUUGCAAGAGAAGCCACAACAGACAUAUUGCACUGGUGUCCCUCUAAGCGAAGGUUGCUUUUGAAAGACGCAAGGGGCACAGCUUCACUGCCUUUAGCUAUGAUGUUGCUUUCCUCUUGCUGAGAUUUGGUGCACCGAUGUAAAUGUAACCUUAUCCGCUGGAGUUCAUAAAUACUGUACACAGGUGACCGAAAUGCUUUGGAAUGAGGAGCUUGGGAGAAUCCAUCCUGCUGAUUCCUUGGCUCAGGAACCAGUCUAACCUCUGUUGUACAGGUGGAAGGAAGAGGUGGCAAUUGGUUCACAGCCUUGUGUUUGGUUACAAUAAGGCUGAACCCAGUUCUGUGUUUUGAUCCCCUUGGCAAUCUGUUUCCUCACAUGCUCAGAUUCAAAGUGGAUACAAGCUCCAGUCCAUUUCGCGGGCAACCUGCUCUGCUAGUCAUAGAAUCAUAGGAUUUGUAGAGCUGGAAGGGACAACGAGGAUCAUCUAGUCCAGCCCCCUGAAAUGCAAUACCUCAAGGACUGGCUCUCUCCAUGUGAACCUACCCGGACCCUGAGAUCAUCCUCUGAGGCCCUGCAAGUGGUCCGGGGGGUUGCAACAUGAGAACGGGCCUUUUCUGUAGUGGCUCCCCGUUUGUGGAAUGCUCUCCCUAGGGAAGUUUGCCUGGUGCCUUCAUUAUGCACCUGUAGACGCCAGGCAAAAACGUUCUUCUUCAACCAGGCCUUUGGCUGAGUAUACCCUUUUUAAUGUGUUUGUGGGAAGAGGUGAGGGAGGAGGGUUUUAGUGUCGUCAUCUUCUAUUAUGUACAGUAUUUUGUGUUUUUUAUCUUGUAUUUUUAAGUUGUAAACCAUCCUGAGAUCUACAGAUGAAGGGUGGUAUACAGAUUUAAUAAAUAAAAUAAAUAUUUUGCCCAACAUGGGGUUUGAACCCACAACCCUGAAUUUAAGAGCCCCAUGCUCUAGUGAUGGGGAUGUUCUCCCAGUGUCUGCACAUUUUCUGAAAGAGUCAAGUGUGCUAACUUCAUACAUGUUGUGGUGUGUGUGUUUUCCACAUAUUCUUGUGAAGAUUUUUUGAAAUUAUUAUCUGAAAGUAGCUUUUCAAAAGUGUGUGAGAGCAGAUCAUUAUUUUGCUGAUGCCUAGCAAUGGGGUUGUGGCUGUGACCUCUUUUUGACCUCACUAGAGGAAGAGCAUAUGCUAUAUUUGUCGUAGUUGUUGAUGAUGUUGCAUUUAUAUCCCACCCUUCCUCCAAGGAGCUCAAGGUGGUUUACGUGGUUCAUUUCCCCCUCUCUAUUUUAUCCUUACAAUAACCCUGUGAGGUAGGACAGACUGUAACUGACCCAAGGUCAUCCAGCAAACUUCAUAGCUGAGUUGAGAUUUGAACCCUAGUCUCCCAGCUCUAACCACUGCAUCACCUGUAAUGGGUCACAAACUUCGGGCUGCCAGUUUGGUGUCUGCCUUGUGGAAUAUGAUGAAUGGAAAGGACUGUGUUAUACAAAGGCGGCGGCUGAGGCCUAAGGCCAAUUCCAUUCUCAACCCUGUUUUCACAUUUAAAAUAAAACACCCUAUGAACUGCCUUACUGGAGAAAGAACCUGACUCAGGCAGCUUAUAGUACAGAGCCAGCAACAAAAUCUGGUAACCCUGGAAGGGGGUUUGAGGGAGGGAAUGUGUGCCUAGACCUGCAUACUGAAUGCAACAGUCAUGCAACUGUUAAACAAACUACAGUUUCCACCAGUAUGGAAAACUGACAGUGGGCAACAUUUCACCUGUGGAAUGAAUGUCUGCCUGUUGCACAGAGCCUCUACUAAGGAAAAACUAGCAAGCUUAGUAUGUACGGGCACUUGAUGAGACGGGUUUGUUUUCUGUCUCUUCUUCCUUGCUGUGUGACAACAGGAUGGGUGGAGGGGACUGAUUUGUCUGAUGAGGGUUUGUGGUUUUGGGUUGGCGGGGAGGCUGGCAGGCCAGAUAGAGUGAUCCAGGAUUAAAGCCAUUUCACAGUAUGAGACUGUUUGUUCAGGUACAGAGAGAAUAUAGCAGCCUUAGCACUGAAGCCUGUAACAUUUAGUUCUCCGGUUCAUUGGCUCAGCCCCAGGUUCUGCUACAGGCCUUACAUUCUGGUAUUGAAAGUUGUGUUGUAGACGAGUCCAGUACUUGGACCCAGUGAGUAGUUCUUGUGAGUUCAGUCUAGGGACCUGCAGCUGUAAAGGACAACUUAGGUGUCUUUCCAACAAUUUUCAGAACCUGAUUUUCCCUUUUUAAAAAAAGAGAACAAGUUUCUGCCCCCUAGUAUUUAUGAAAGGCAGUGUGAAUACAUGGAUGGAUUCUGCAUAAAACCUAGCCAGGGAAUAGGACUGUUUCAGACCCUUCCCAUCACCCCAGUCCUUGUUAUUUCUUGGGUCAACAAAUCUAGUUUUGCUGUUUCCUUGCUCAGUCUAACAUAGGGUUGGUACACUGGUAGUUGAUUGCCUAUUUAUUUGACCAUUGUCAUAUAUGUUUGAAUAUUCCAUGAAGGCAAGAAUACCACCCGCUUAGGUGGCAGAUUUGCUUUUUAUUUCAUUAUGAGUUUCAGUUGUUGAUGAGGACUGCUUGCCCCUGUAGUGGUCAAAGGAAAAGCCUGGCAACAUAGAAAACCUUUUUCCUACCAACACCCUGCUACAAUUGCAGCUAUCUCCAAACAGGAAUGCAAGUUGUUUUCAUUGGCAAAGGUUGUUAUUUUAAUUGCAUUGUAAAACCGAACAAACAGCAAUUGUAAGCUGACCCUGGAGUUUUAGGAUAAAAAACGAAGAAUAAUCUUUCAUUGACUUGUUCACAUAUAUAGAAACCAUACUUUGCAUUAAUUCAUUAGCAGCCUAACUUUUUGGGGUUGGGAAGUUCAAAAACACAGUGUCAAAAAUCCUUGGUAGUCUACUGCAUGUCACUUAGACCUACUAGUAAAUCCCAAUCUAGCUUCUGUCUAGUACUGUUCCAGAUGAUGCCUACCUGCAACUUCCACCAGACCCAGGCAACAUGGCAGUGGUCAGGAAUGAUGGGAGCUGCAGUCUAGCAUUGUCUGGAUGGGCAUCAUGUUUAUUCUGGAUGGGCAUCAUGUCCAUUCUUCUUAGGCAUUCUUUUGUAGGACCAAAAUAUCAACAGCUGUCUGAAUUUCUACCAUGCAGCCUGGCAGUAGGCUAGAUACUGCAGAGUAAUGGCUGGCAGCCUGCAAGCUCUUGCCAAACUGGGAGAGGAAUUCUGCCAUCGCCCAGUGGCUUACAAACAGGGCACAGCUGCAGUUUGUCAUGAAGUAUGUGAGGGGGAACCCAAGGGGCUGGUUGUGUUGUUCCCUCCACCUCUUCAGACGUUGGGGAGAGCCGUUUCCCAUAUGGCUGCUAGCUCCAUCCCCAACAGUCAAACAGAAGGGGAUUCUGCCUUGGCAGGAGCUGGGAGGAGGAAACGGAAGCCAGAUGGUGUCCAUGGAAACGAGGCCUGUACUCUGCACAGCCAGGUGGCUCCAGGCAAAGCAUGGCUGGGGCUGUUGUUAUGCCUCAGCUGUGAGCAAAGAGGAGUGGGGCGAUGGGCCCUGGGUGUGUGUCUGCCUCUUAAAUGUGAGGAUUUGGUUGUACUUCUGCAAAAGUAAUGGGCCUGGCAGACUUCGAAAUGGAGUCCCUUUCCUGGCAGCACUGAAGCCUUACUGUAUCCGAUGCAGCAAUGAGAGGCAACUGUCAUUAGGAAAACAGGAUGUGGUCGCAGUAGCAGCUGAGAGCAGGAACUUCUUGAACCCAUUUGUGCCUGGCAACUUGGAGGAGACAGGCAAAAGUUUGUUGACAGCCGGAUCUUGUCAGAAGCUAUUUAAACUAGAGGAGCACUCCAAAGUUUCUUAAUCUAGGAACAGCUUUACAAAAACCAUUGUACCCUCUCUCCCUAGCUAGACCAGGUCUUUCAGCUCAAAUGCCACAUUCCCUCAGGGGCAGGCUGCAUACUGGUAGUAGACAGGAAGAUGUUGGCACCUCCAGAGGCAAAGCUGGGUAGGGCUGUGGGUGCGAAUUUUCCCUUUGCAUGAGAAACCGUGCUAAAGCCGGAGGUUUCUAUGCACAGGUACCUCUUGCCCAUGCUAGUAUUACCACAGCAGAGGACAGCUUCCAGUCAGGCAAAAUCGCUCCAGGCUGAUUUAGAGCAGGGGUCCCAAACUGUGACCUUUGAAUCGCUGGUGGUCCGUGAGCUUCAUCCCAAGUGGUCUGCAGCAUUUCUGUGGAUUUGCAGUUGAAGACGGCAGCUGGCAAGUCCAUCACGUUAAAUACUCCUAUUGAUUUUUAACAGCUUUUUUAUUGCUCCUUUUAUUAUAAUAUUGUGUUUUUAUUGCAUUGCAAUUUGAAUUCUUUGAAAUGCAGUAAAAUACAACUUGUAAGAAAUAAAAGAAGCAAUAGAAAUACAAUUGCUACAGCAGGCAGGAAAGUCAGUAAGUGGGCCACCAAGAUGCCCCAUAUCCUGUGUGGGAUAUAAAUAGGGAACCACUGCUGCAGAGUGUGGCCAGUGACAGGUGUGGUCUGAGGAGAAGCCUGAGGAAUGGGUAAAGCGGCCCAGAAAACCGCAUUUGUCCCCCUCCACUGUGGACUGAAAUACCCCACCCCUCCUCUAGGCAUACAGAUGAGGUCCCCAACUGCAUCAUACAUUUAAAGCAGGAUCAUACCACUUUAUACAGUUGUGGCUUCUCCCAAGAAUCCUGGGAACUGUAGCUAGUUGAGGGUGCUGAGAGUUGUUAAGAGGGCCAAUAUUCCCCUUACAGAGCUACAGUCCUCAGAGUGGUGGUUUAACAGUUGAUCACUCUUCCCAGGGAACCAGAAGGUUUAUUCAUUAACUUCUGAUUCGAUUCUUGAACUGUCUGGGAGCAACUUUUUGAAUGGCUCUGCAGCUGAGCUGUGUAUGAUUUCCUCAGCCACAGUUUGACCACUUCUGGUUUGCCACCGAGUUUGGGGAGGUGUGUCUUACAAAGCUUCGUUCCAGCCAGCUCCGUUGUGUGGAGUGAACUGGAUGAAGUUUUGGGGCAGAUUGGGAAUGUGAAGAAUAAUGAUGGAGAAGACUUGGAGCAUCACCAUGUCCCUCCUUUCUAAGGCCCACAGGGAGAAAAUGUGUUAUUGUAUUUUAGGAAUCUCUGCAUUUGCUUGACUUACUAAUUGGCACUCUAUUGAGCCAAGGCUUUCCCACCUAUUCGCUUAGUCUGGGUGCCCUCCUGUCUGCCUUGGGGCAGCUGUCUGGGUAUGAUGCUUUCUUUUAAAAUGUAAAAUCUGGGACUUGCCCAGCAAAAAUUGCAGGGUGAUUUUACAGUGAUUCACAUAUGUGCUCAGACACAGCUUGCAGAAGCCCUAGAGUGCAAGGAGCAAGCUGCAGUCAUAUAGUUACUGGACCAUAAAUAUGUGUAAUUGCUUUUUGCAGUCUGGGGUAGAGGUGGUAGCAGAGAGAUUAUUUGUAAUGGUUCAUGAGUUUGUUUUCAGGAAGGAGUUCUCUCUGCAGUCCUCUACUGGCUUGAUGGGUUAAAAGACAAAUGUGACCCCCGCUUGGGCCAAUGCCUUUUUAUUAUCAGCAGAGGGCAGCACAUGGCCAACUCUUAUCUGUACUGUUCUGUUAACACACUUCUCCAAGUGCAUUUUCGGUGGUGAAAAAGUGUGCAUGCAAAUACAUGCUUCCUUGGGGUGUGUGUACUGAAAAGCAUUGAAAAAGUGCGUAUUUUACACAACAGUGUGAAUUUUACACAUAAAGUGCUCACAAAAGUGUGUGCAAAUGUCUCCAACAGACCUAUGAAUGCCAGUGAAGCCUAAACUGGAUGGAAUUAGCUGCCCUUUACUUUGGCUUGGCUUUGAAUGGCAGGAAUGGCAUUUUCAAGACCACUUGAAAAUGGUAGAGGGUCUUGGUGGACCGCUUCAAGAUUUUUCUACCUGUUGUUGCAAUUGUAACGUGCUCUGCUAGAUUCCGUCAUGUCACAUGUUCAUUCCCAGUAAUGUUCUUAUCCUCGCAAUUGUCUGUAAUGCUUUUCUGCUUUUGUUUGAAAAGAACAUAUAUGUGCUAUGCUGGGUGCUGCAUGGUUUUUAAUUGUAUUUUUAUUGCUCCUUUCAUUAUAUAUUGUAUUUUACAGCAUUUUGAAGACUUCAAAGUGUAAUACAAUAGAACGCAACGUAAAAAUAAAAGAAGCAGUAAAAAUACAAUUUAAAAUCUGUAGGAAUAUUUUAUGUGAUGAAUUUGCUGCCUUCCAUCCUCAGCCACAAAUCCAGACACAGUGCAGACUCCCUGAACGAAGCUUAUGGACUUCAGUUUGGGAGCCCCUGUUGUGAGUAAAUGUCACUCAAAACACCACAUGCCACAAAUGAAGAAUAGUUACCAUGCUGGGGCAUGUUGAAUUUUUAAAGUUUCAAAUUCCAAAAGUAAGGGGUGCUAAAAAAUUGUAACAUGACCUGAGGAUGAUUCAAAAGCUGUUUUCAGGAAUGACUGGGCCUGUGGAUGGUCUAAUAACAGUUCUCCUAGUAGACUAAAAGCAUUUAUAACAUGCUUUUCUUCACUGCAUUAAUAACCCACUUUUUCAAGGUGGCACACUUUGUGGUUCUCCUCUCCUCUGCCCAGCAAGCUUCAAGGGGCUGCACAGAAAUUUCAGCCAGUCUUUUCUCAGCCCUAGUCUUGACUCAGUGGACUACACUGGCUCUGCACUCAAAUGUGCGUAAUACUUUGUGAUUCCCCACCCUUUGCUGCAGGCUUGGGAGGGGUUCUUUCUGUUAUCCCACCCUGCACAGAUCAUGCCAGCUAGUGUUUACAUCCAUCAAGUUGUAGUUUCCUCUUUGCUUCCAGAGCAUGAGGGGGUUAACAGCCCUAUGGAGGCUGAAGGAUCACCACAGGAACAGGGCGUUGCUGGUUAUCUCGGUUACUGCCAGGCCAGGACUGUAAUGACGCCUAUCCUCCAAGGCAAAGGCCACCCAUUGGCUGGGACAAGACCUGACUCAUUCCAGGAAGCCGCAGCCAGACAGCAAGUCAGACUCAGGUGUCUACCCAGCCGAGCAGCACGUAACUGUGGAACGGACGGAGAUAGUGGUCUGCAACAUCUCUCUGCUGCUGGCAACAUGGUGCUCAGGAUGGAGAACGUGCCCAGCGACCUGACCCCUGAGGAGUGUCAAGAACUUGAAAACAUCCGCCGACGCAAGCAGGAGCUGCUGGCAGAUAUACAGCGUCUGAAAGAUGAGAUAGCAGAGGUCACUAAUGAAAUCGAGAACCUGGGCUCUACAGAAGAGAGGAAAACCAUGCAGAGGAACAAGCAGGUGGCGAUGGGCAGGAAGAAGUUCAACAUGGACCCUAAGAAGGGCAUCCAGUUCCUGAUAGAGAACGACCUCUUGAAGAACACCCGCGAUGACAUUGCCCAGUUCCUCUACAAAGGGGAAGGGCUCAACAAGACAGCCAUUGGCGACUACUUGGGUGAAAGAGAUGAUUUCAAUAUCCAGGUGUUGCACUCAUUCGUGGAGCUGCAUGAGUUUACAGACCUCAACCUUGUCCAGGCACUGCGGCAGUUCCUUUGGAGCUUCCGGUUGCCGGGCGAAGCACAAAAGAUUGAUCGGAUGAUGGAAGCCUUUGCACAACGGUACUGUCAAUGCAACCCCGGUGUCUUCCAAUCAACAGAUACCUGUUAUGUGCUCUCGUUUGCCAUCAUCAUGCUCAACACCAGUCUUCAUAAUCCCAACGUUAAGGACAAGCCGACAGUGGAGCGCUUCAUUGCCAUGAAUCGUGGCAUCAAUGAUGGCGGGGACCUGCCCGAGGAGCUACUUAGGAAUCUGUACGAGAGCAUUAAAAAUGAGCCCUUCAAAAUUCCUGAGGAUGAUGGCAAUGACCUGACGCACACUUUCUUCAACCCAGACCGUGAAGGCUGGCUUCUGAAGCUCGGAGGUACGUACCCCCAUAUCCCCUCGCUAGCUUUGCUGGGGCCAGGGGUGUGCUGCCAUGCUUGUUUAUUUUUCUGUUCUUUCGUUAUUUUAAAUUGCUGGUGAUUAUUACUAGUCUUAUCGCUGCUAUUGCCACCGUUGCUAACUGGCUGCACAGUCCAUGGGGAACUGGGGGACAGGUGGGAUGGUGGGUGGGACUGGGGGCGGUGGUGGGAAGGCGGAGCUUCCGUGUCAUAUUUGACCCACCCCUCAAAAAAUUGCCCCAAAGAAGCUUCCCGACAGGGCCAGGUCUGAGCCUGGCAGUAUCUCUCUCUCCAGCUUUGUCAGUACCCUGUAUUGUAGGAGUCAGAAUCACACUGUAGGGCUUGCCGCAGGAUGCAGCAGUGAAGAGCCAGCCUUUUGUCUGCCCCAAAGAGGCAGGGAGGUAACUAUGCCACUCAAGAAGAGGCAGCUCCUCGCGGCAUGGACGUUGCUGUCCAGUAUGCCGCCUUUGCUUGAAAAUAGCAGUGCGGCCGCAUCUCUCUGGGAACUGACACUGAAUCCGGCCUGAGAAGGUACAUAGCCACUGAGCCUGUUUUGCCAUUGCCAAGAAACUCUGUGUGCGCUGCUUAAGACUGGCUGCUUCCUGCUGCAGAAGGCCCAGCAGUGCAGCCACAGCACGUGCACAGCUGCUAUCAUGAAACCAUCCAGGCAUUGGCGAGGCCUUAUUACCAGCCCUGCAGCAAGCAGCUGGCAAACCACGGUUCCUUAUCCCAGCAGGCAUAGCUGUUCAUGGUGGUGGGGUGUUCACGCAUGGCUGCGCUGGUGCUACCUGCACUUGCCCCAUUAUAUUACUGCAGCUCACAUGACAAGCCCCACCUCCUGCCUCCCAACAUGCCCGCAGAACUUUCUAUGCCCCGCUGAAAGCUCUUCCCCUUGGUUCCCCCCCCCUUCCUCCUUAUUUGAGGCUAUGUGCUCAUCUCCUGUCUUAAAACCCUCCCUUGGCUGUUCCCCAGCCGCAUGGCUAACCUCAUCCCCUCCCAUUAAGCGGGAGAGGGGGAAAGCUAGUAUUAAGAGAAAGCCACAUUCCUUCCAUGGAGAAAAUAUCUCAAUUCAUUUCUAUUAAAGUUUAGAACUGCAGAAGCCCGGUUAUUAACGUAGGACAUUUGUCCUGAAGGGCCCUAAGAAUUUGCAGGCAGCAGAAAGAAGGGGAGGCCUCCGUGUAACAAGGACUAAUGGAGUAUUAAUUGUGCUAAGCUGAUGCAUGCUGGCAGCCGCAUGGCAUUGGAGUCCCAGUUGGUAGAGGGAAGAGGCCCAGACAGCUACGGAGGCGCUGGCGGGGACGAGCUGUUAAGAUCUUGAUUGGGUAACGCGUCAUGGUUCUUACCAGUCCAUUUAUAACACUGUAAAUCCUUUCCAAUCCUUAUCCCGCCUAACUCUGCAACAACCCUGUGGAGUAGGUCAUUGCUUCCAUUUUUUAGAGUAGGAAGGUGGAGGUGGAGACGGGGCCUUCGCCACCCAAUGGUUCCAUAGCUGAUGAGUCUUUUGUGCCAUCCUCUGGAGAACACCGACUCCCACCAUCAUAAAAGAAGGCAGAAUGUUAAUUUGUUUAAUGUGAUAGAAUCACAGACUUGUAGUGUUGGAAGGGAUCACUAGGGUCAUCCAGUCUAACCCCCUGCAAUGCAGGAAUGUUUUGCUCAAUGUGCUGCUCAAACCCGCUACUCUGAGAUUAAGAGUCUCUUCCUCUACCAACUGAGCUAUCCCAGAUGUAUUAGCCUAAAUUGCGGUAAGCUUUUUUAGAGUUUCUUGGCAACCAGAGUAACUUAAAACAAAGAAUCAGCAGAAAUUAUUGUGGCUUAUUUCUCUAGAAGUCUCCAGACCGCUAAAAUAUAUAUCCAAAGUAUAUAUUGUAUAUUCCUGGCUUCUAAAUUUAAUGCCAUGUCAUGGCGGAGGAGGAAAAGCUGCAUAAUGAGUGGGCAGGGUCUGUUUCCUCAGCUUCUUAAAACUGACAGCAAAUUGGAAAACCUCUCAAACAACGUUGCUUCUUGAACAUUUGGUAGCCGGCUUGAAAGAUUUCAAAACUUUGUGGACUUGGCUUAUAGAAGGUGGGACACACUCACUGAACAGCAACCAUGGCUAGAAACCACUGGCUAAUAUCCUGGUCUCAUGAGCUUAUUUAUACUCAUCCUGAGGGAAAAAUACUUUGGAUAAUUCUAGCUUGUUAUCCCUUAUUAGCAGCUUCGCUUGGGGGCUCCUUAACAGGGUGUGUUGGGUAAUGACACCCCCCUCCGCUUUGUUCACAUGGCUGUUGUACCUCAGAUGCUGUUCUAGCAUGAAAACAACUUCGUGAGUGAAAUUCCAACUUGGGUUUUUGCCUCAGACCCUUAACACAGCCUGUUUGGAACUUGCACACACUAAAAAGCAUCUUUUGUCUAGUGCUCCCUAGAGAUGUUUCACUGUGUACUCUUCCGAUAGGAAGGUAGCAACCUGCCUAAUACCAGGUCAAACCAUUGGUCGAUGCAGCCCAGUAUUGUUUACUCUAAAGGUGGGGAAUCUCCAGCCCAUAGGCUAAUCUCGGCCCGCAAGGCCUUUCCCCACAAAUCAUGCCCACCUGUCAAUCAGCCGACAUCACUAAUUAAUGAGCAGCAGGGUGGAGUUCAGUUCUGGCUUGGUUGUGCAGACAGGCACUUGCAGCCAAAACAGGAUUUAUAUCUCCUCCACCCCUCCAUCAGCUGAACAGCAGAGCCUAAAUCCUUCUACUUGGAACAGGUGUAUGUAGUCAAGGCAAGCAGAAAGUAGUGUUUCAUAAGCAAAGGCAGAGUGCUGGUGAAGUCCCCUCCACUGGCUUUCCUUGCAAAACACACCUUUCUUUCUAGUGAGUGGAUCCUCCUUUCGAGGAGGGGAAUAGAAGCUGCUUCCAAUUGCACUUUUCAGCCUUAAGACUGUGUUAAAGCACUUGCCUCUGAAAGUCUCCCCAUCUUCUUAUUGUAAACCCCCAACAUAGGGUUUGAAGGGGAGCCACAUGAAGGCUUCCAAAGCCAUGCCUGUCUGCCAUGUGACAUUGUGUGAUGGGUGGAUCAGUAGCCCGGUCCACCUGUCAAACUUGUCCCAUGAGGCCAAUCUCAUUGGCCUCUGUUUCCUCACUCUGUUCUACUCUUGACUGGCAGCAGCUCUCCAGUGUUUUGGGUUGAGAAGGGCCUUAAGAUCCCUGGCAUUCCUCGUAAAAGGCGUGUGCCCCACCACCACAGAGUGAGGAUCCCUGCAGUGGCUCUUUUAAGAAGGUUGGCAUUGGUGGUGAAGUGGGCCGCCCCAUGAUGCCAGGGGGCUCCCAACAGGUGGGGUUUUCUCUGUUCCCUGGGGACUGUGGCAGGCACUAUCUGGAGCAGUUGGCUUGUUUUGUCUUUUUUUUCCCUUUUCUUUCCCUUCUUGUGUUGCUGAAUGAGGUCUCAUUGUUGUAUGUGCUGGUCUGUGGCUGUCAGGACCUCCCUAGGAGGGGUCUCUAGUGUUCUGCACCUUUUAAAUCUCGUUGGCUCAUCUCCACUGCCGUGGGUUUGAGAGAGCUGCCAAUGCUGACAGAAAAUACCCAAAGUUGUUGCCCUCUCAACCACUGAGAUCUUUCCAUCUUUGCCUCCCUGUCCUGUAUUCCCCACCUCUCUUGGACGUGCUGUUGUUUGCAGCCUCUGACUGAGGAGGCCAAGCGAGGAGGGUCUGCAGCUGCAGCAUUCUGUGGUUUUCUGGGGGCCUCUUGGUGUUCAAAAUGACCCCCGCUGUAUUGACUGGCGGUUGCAAGGUCUCCGACCCUGUACUUGGGAUCUGAGCUGUCUGGUAUGGAUUCUUUUAUUUUUAUUUUUAUUAUUAUGGUGACUGCUUGUGCAAAAACUUUCUCAAGACCCUGGAUUUGGAUCCUGGACACUUGAGUUUCAGUGUCAAUUUUGGAAGGGCCACUGGAGUCUCCUGUGUUUACUGAUGGGAUGGUAGGUGGGGGCAUCUUUCUCAAUGGGUGCCAGUUCUAAGCCAAUCCCCCUCCCUCUCACCUCACCCUUACUAAAAGUCACCAGAGCAGGAUUCCAUUGAACUUUUAUUCUGAGAUGGGUCAUGUUUGUAUUUCAGCCCCCCACCCCACCCUCUGCCUUUUGGGUGCAGCUCUGGAGGCCCAACUUAAAAGCCACGCUGGGGCAGGAAAGGGAAUAGCUGAUUCCUGUAGUUUCAAUACUCAUCCCUUUUUAAUCUUGAAGCUGUUGUUAAGGUCUGCUUCUUGCCUGGAACUGUAUGUAUCCGGGCAGGCAAGACUCAGGGACAAGAACCCACAACUGAAAAAGACUGUGUAGCCAUGGGUUGUCUGUUGGGAAGACUCUUGGUUUGUCUUUCUUUUUAAAUUAGUUGGAGCUGGCUAGGAGACAUCUGGGUAGCUUCAGGGCAAACAGAAUCCCAUGAAGCUCAGACUCUAAGCUACAAGCUUUGUCCAUAAAGAGCCUAAGUAGAUCCCAGCACUAGCAGGACACUGAUGCCUCUUCCUUCCCCAGCAUGUCGGCAGAUCCAUGUCUGCUCCAUAGUAUAUGCAGUAGGGCACUUCUCUUGAUGACCACCAUCUCUGCCUGCCCCCUUCAGCUGAUAUGCUCACCAUGUAGCUACUGGCUGCUGCUGCUGCUGCUGCUGCUAUGGUGGUGUGCGGCUGGCUCUGGCUCUGCUUGCACUGCUGAUGCCAUUCACUCUCUUACACCGCCUACUUGUGCCUAUAGGCGCUUAGCUCUGCCUUUGCCUUAGCUGCUCUUGUGCUCAGCACCCUUCUUUUGGCCUGGGCAUGCAUUGUCAAGCUUGCUUCUUCUCUGCACAGGUGGACGGGUGAAGACGUGGAAACGGCGCUGGUUCAUCUUGACGGACAACUGCCUUUACUACUUUGAGUACACCACGGACAAGGAGCCACGAGGCAUCAUUCCCUUGGAGAAUCUGAGUAUCCGUGAGGUUGAAGAUUCCAAGAAG